Prunus avium (sweet cherry) is the source of this 315-nucleotide non-coding RNA. NCBI's taxonomy places the organism in Eukaryota, Viridiplantae, Streptophyta, Magnoliopsida, Rosales, Rosaceae. The record is from RefSeq and is a predicted model, not a curated record.
ACCAAUUGAAAAGUUGAAUUACGCUUUUAGAUAAUGUAGCUAGUUGGUAGCUUUUCGAGAUUACUUCUUUCAUCUGACGAGCAUUUAACCUUCAGAAUAAUACUUAUGAACUUAGUCGCUGAAUGGAAUAACGUGAUUCAUGAGGAAGGCCACCAAGUGAGCUCUUUGCAUUCAUAAUAUUGAAUCAGCCAUGGUGAGCUUAAGAAGAAGCAAACGCAUGAGACUAUGCACCGAAAGAAGUUCUGUUCUAGCUCCGCUGCCAAGGUUUUGUGACAAGGGAACUGCUCCUCAAAAUUCUACCCAAACAAAACCAGA